UGGAACUGAGCGAAACUCACACGCAGGUCCGUCUCUUUCGCAUCUUUUAUCGUUUGUUCGUCUCUGUUCGCUCGUUUCCUCGUGAAUCGAAUCUUUGUGCUUGCUUGUUGACGGAUCCUUGUAUUCGGUGGACUUGCGAAAACAGUUUGGGGAAGUAUGAGUUCUUGGGGGUGACAAAUUGAUUUGUUGCUUUCAAUGCGUAAAUGAUAUCAUGAAGUCACCGUAAUUCUGUCUGCAUGCUUUUUCGCUUGGUUGAUUGGUGGUGGUGGUGGUCUCCCAUCUGUUUGAUCGCUUAUUACAGUUAGUUUCUUUGCGGUUGAGGCUUACGGUGCCUGUUUUCAUGUGCGGAUUCUCACAGUUGUUAGCUUUGCUUAAGUUGGAACAUAACAACGUGAAAGAGCAUGCAUGAACGAUUUGUAGGUAGUUAGAAGAAAGUGAAGCUGUGUGCUAAUAGCACUGACGUUUGUUCCAAUCAGUAUUCAGCCGUCCUAAUCUUUGCUCUGCUUUCUUUUCUUUUCUUUUUCUCAUCACAUUUGUAUGCAGAGAGUGUGAAAUUGAUUUUUCAGUUACUUCAGGGAGGAAACGUUUAAUGCAUUUCCCCAGAGCCUUAACCCGAGGACGAUAGUACAUAACUGGCAAGUUUUGAUCAGUAUUCAAGACAUGUUGAUUGCAAGCUAAUUCAAUUGUUGUCACUGUAGGCUGGGACCUGGUGUAUGCCCAAAGGGCUUUAAAUGCAUUUUCAGCGAUCAAGGGGUUUGGUAUGUUAGAUCAUUUAGAUAUGGCCUGGAGCUGCUGCUGCUGCUGCAGCUAAGCCGGUCUUUGGGCAUCGUUUUAUGCUGGGGCAUUGAGUCUUUUUCUUCUCGGCUCUCAUUUGUCUAUUUAGAGUUUCAUUUUCUUUUAAAAAAUCGCGGGGGAAAUUUAUGUUCUUAAAGCCUUUCUGACACUAUAUGUUUCUUGCUGAGAGCUUCCUCACACUUUUGCUCAGAGACAGCGUGGAGGAGAUAAUAGGGUUUAAUUUCAUUUUUGCUUCCUCAACUUUGCCAUAAAACUGUACGUUUGUCCCCAAACUUCAUUUUCUGAUAUCCUGCAUUUAAUUCAAAUUAUCACUGUUAUGUUAUUUUGAGAGAAUGAAUUCAUGAAAUACAUUACAAUCG
Molecule: long non-coding RNA, 1154 nt
Filed under: Eucalyptus grandis
Lineage: Eukaryota; Viridiplantae; Streptophyta; Magnoliopsida; Myrtales; Myrtaceae
Description: long non-coding RNA (EGRA_LNC007465)
Source: RNAcentral